This is a long non-coding RNA of Calidris pugnax (ruff), 2511 nucleotides long. RefSeq lists it as uncharacterized. Lineage: Eukaryota; Metazoa; Chordata; Aves; Charadriiformes; Scolopacidae. The record is from RefSeq and is a predicted model, not a curated record. The transcript is spliced from 6 exons.
UCCCUCUGCCAGGCCGUUCGGGGGCGGCGUGGCAGGGCCGGGGCCGCCGGUGCUCGUCGAGGAGUUUUUUUUCCCUCAGGGCCGACCGGGCGAUUUCUCCCCGCCGAAGGUGGGAGGCAAGAUGGCCUCCUGUGGUGGUUCCCCGGGGGGUGCGCUCCGGGAGACGCUGCGGUGGCCGAUCCCGCGGGGCUGAGUCCCUGGGGAGUGCUGGGCCGUAGAGGGGAGAAGGAGCUCCCGCUAGAUGAAUUGAUAACGUGAGGCAAUGGGACAGAAGGAAAGAUUAAGAUGAGGAGCUUAAUAGCUAAGAAAAUAAACGGCUAUAAGAUCAGAAAGAUAAGCUGAGCCGCGUCCAUCAAGAGAGCAGUGUUUGUGUUGGAUCUGACGCAAAUGGGAUGCUAAUGGCAGUGAAGGAAAGAUGCAGGGAAUCCUGCUUCGUGGAGGAAGGGCCACUCCGGUAAUUCCGUUCAACACUUCCCUUCAGCUGACAAGUCAACCAUGUCACACUGUACCCUGUGAGAAGUCCAUCAUCUGGGAAAAAAACCCAUCCAAUUGGAUUGGAAAGCCCAAGUUCUUUCAGAGGAGCAGCUGAGGGCUUUUGCAGGCACAACAAGCAGCACCAAACUUUAUCUGGAGCUUGUCACCAUGAUUGCUUUACCAGCCAAAUAGGAUGCUGUUGAGUGACACAGUGGACUCCACAACCACCACGGGGAAGUAAACACACCGUCUCUACAUCUUCAAAGCGGGAGAAGAUUCUCUUCUUAAACAGAUUUUGCAACCUGAAAGAGACUUUUAUCUCUGAGAGCUCAGGACAGUUCCAGUGAAGUAGAUCUUCUGGAUAAUUUCUUCAGAUUCUUCAAAGUCUUGAAUGACAAAAAGCCCACGUAUUACUUGAAGAAAUUCUUCCCAAGCUUGUCAUGUGCAAACUCGGACUGGCCAGGCAGACCUGAACACACACCAUUUCCCUGCUGCUUGAGAUCUAACGUCACCGCUGCUGCCGGAGGUGUAACUGCUGCAUCCAAAUAAACAGCUGAAAUCGGUGUCGUCAUGCAGAAACUGAACUCUUUGAUCUAAUUGUUCAGUUAUUGCAAGCCCAGGAUGAAAUGUCUCAAGGGGAAGGCCUUCUCCUAUAGUACUGAGCUAUGGGUUUGGCUCUUCCAGCAGACAGUAUCUCUCUGUUGUGUGAGAGGGAAUGUUAAACAGAAAAUGUAUUUUGAAAAAGGAUGAUACGUGAGAUAACUCAUCAUAAGAAGCGUAGAGAAAGGGAGUAAGUAGUACAGUUGAUCACGUGAAGGUUGAAGAAGCUGUAUCUCUUAAUUUUGGAAAAAAGAGGGAAAGCAAGAAAGUUUUUGUGACUGCUUAGCUCACAAGGGGACGGAAGAGAGCUCUGAACUCAGGAGGGGAUGUGGGUGGGAAGGCAAUGGAAGAAGAAAAAGCUUGUUACCUUAAAAAUAUUACCUAAAAAGGUUUGGAUGCCAACCAAUAACACCACCUCAAAGCUCCCCAAGGAAGCUGUGUGUUGUGUUCUACAGGUCACAUGGGUGAUCUGUAGAGUUGAUCUGGAGGGCACAGGAGCUGAUAUGCACCACUGUCCAUACCAAGCCUCUGAGGUUGGCAGAGUCAGCUCCUGUUUGUCUGUAUGGUGACAGUUCUGACAAAUACCUCUCAGCUACAGCAGCUUUAUCAGCGAGAAGAAUCUGGGCCACCACGCAAAGAGAAUCCUCCCAGUGGUGUGUCAGGCUUGAGGAAGGGUGUGAUUAUCAUUCCAGAGGAGCGUGAUGGGAACCUGUGCCUCCUGUUUGGCUGAGCAGUGGCGAGAUCAAGGAGGCUUCUGCUCUUUGCUCACCUCUUCUCUCUUUAUUUCCUUUCUUUCAGCAAGCAACUUAUCUUCAUAUUAACUUAUUUUGUCAUGUAAGAUGUCCAAAGCAUGAACCAACACCCCAAGGCACUUGGAAAUGGAUCUCCAACUAGACCAUCAGCAAAGUACUACGUAGAGGGGAGUUUCCCAUUUUGGGGUGCUUGGAUGGCAGCUGGCUCUGAUCAGCAUCUUUGAAAACAGUGGGGUGGAUUCUUUCACCAGGCUGAAUCAGCUCUGCCAAGCCUGGUGUUUCAGGACUUCUCCACCAGCCACAGCCGGGGACGCAUAAACCUCUGGUGCCCACAUAAGGGUGACGUGGCACUUCCACAUCUCUGCUUGGACGAGUCUUCCAGAUGGAUGUGGCCUGUUGGGUCACUCCAAGGAAGCAGGCCCUCAUCUCAUGAGAUCAGGUGCCUCAUCUCCCAGGUCUCCUGGAAAAAAGUGUCCUUCCAUGGGAAGGACAAGCAUUUCAAACACCUGAUGGGAGAUCUCCAACCACAUUGGACUGUGCUUCUUUAUGGGUCAUCAUCCAGAAACAAAACAUUCGUGUGUGUCUGGGGCUUUGUUCUGGUCUCACAGGUCCAGUAGCAAUAACAGAGCUGAGCUUAGAACUUAAUACCCGUGAAGAUACAGUUUUUAGAGGCUGACACAGCUCA